AUGGGCGAAAGCCAUGACGGAGCAAUACCGCGUGAGGGAUGACGGCCUAUGGGUUGUAAACCUCUUUUUUCAGGGAGGAAUAAAUGACGUGUACCUGAAGAAUAAGCAUCGGCUAACUCCGUGCCAGCAGCCGCGGUAAGACGGAGGAUGCAAGUGUUAUCCGGAAUCACUGGGCGUAAAGCGUCUGUAGGUGGUUUAAUAAGUCAACUGUUAAAUCUUGAGGCUCAACCUCAAAAUCGCAGUCGAAACUAUUAGACUAGAGUAUAGUAGGGGUAAAGGGAAUUUCCAGUGGAGCGGUGAAAUGCGUAGAUAUUGGAAGGAACACCGAUGGCGAAGGCACUUUACUGGGCUAUUACUAACACUCAGAGACGAAAGCUAGGGUAGCAAAUGGGA
This 393-nucleotide ribosomal RNA is filed under the name uncultured bacterium. Its description in RNAcentral is "bacterial SSU rRNA". It matches the Rfam family "Bacterial small subunit ribosomal RNA", at positions 371 to 777 of the family's 1533-position model. The record is from RNAcentral.